RNAcentral lists this unclassified non-coding RNA (764 nucleotides) under Bombus terrestris (buff-tailed bumblebee). RNAcentral's name for it is "misc RNA ENSBTSG00005021558.1". Lineage: Eukaryota; Metazoa; Arthropoda; Insecta; Hymenoptera; Apidae. The record is from RNAcentral.
AGGAUACGAAGGAGUCGGUUCGAAAAGGUUUAUCUUUUUAACUUGGGUCAUUUGUCGUGUUAAGGUAACUAAAACGUCCAAUGUCGCAGUGAAAAGUGAUGAAAUUAUCGAGACUGACUGUGAUUUUAUCUGGCAGUGUAUAGGUACUACGAGGAAGAAAUUGCACAUUGAACGAUCAUUGCUGGUGUACGGUGAAACUAAUAGACAUCUAAUUACCAAGUUUCCAAGCUUCUGUCGGUUAGCAAGAGGUCAUUGACGCGCUCGAGUUCCUUCUGCAAUCUACAAAAUUGCGUACACCGCCAUAUGUAGCUACAUGUUUCAGUCUGCCAACUAACAAUAAGCCAAAACUGACUAAAUACACGUUGGCCAGAUACUAGCGCGAUUGUCUAAUUUUAAUUAUUUGUCUACUUCUUCCUCUCUACAUUCAAAACUUGCUACUGGAGGAGUAACUUUGAACCGACCUACGCAAAUAUUAAUUUCAUUAAAUACCAAUUAAAUUAUUUAUAAAUGAUGAAUAAAUUAUUGGAAGAAGUCUGUCAGAUAAAACUUGUUCUGUUUCGAGUGGGACGUCUCACGAUGACCAGCAGAUUUGCCUAGGUACAGGCGUUUUCGAGAUUUCGAGGUGACCUUUGUCCCUUUAAAUGGAACUACAUAUUUUUUCCACAGUUAUUCGAUGCAGCUUCUAAUUCUCUACAAAAAAGUAUCUAGCUACUUGUAUCCGAAAAUGGACAGUUUGAAAGAUAUUGCAAUGUUAACUUCGUUGG